This 465-nucleotide ribosomal RNA is filed under the name uncultured bacterium. Its description in RNAcentral is "partial 16S ribosomal RNA". It matches the Rfam family "Bacterial small subunit ribosomal RNA", at positions 338 to 795 of the family's 1533-position model. The record is from RNAcentral.
CCUACGGGUGGCAGCAGUAGGGAAUCUUCCACAAUGGGCGCAAGCCUGAUGGAGCAACACCGCGUGAGUGAAGAAGGGUUUCCGCUCGUAAAGCUCUGUUGUUGGAGAAGAACGUGCGUGCGAGUAACCGUCCACGCAGUGACGGUAUCAACCCAGAGCGUCACGGCUAACUACGUGCCAGCAGCCGUGGUAAUACGUAGGUGGCAAGCGUUAUCCGGAUUUAUUGGGCGUAAAGCGAGCGCAGGCGGUUGCGUAGGUCUGAUGUGAAAGCCUUCGGCUUAACCGAGGAAGUGCAGCGGAAACCGGGCGACUUGAGUGCAGAAGGGGACAGUGGAACUCAAUGUGUAGCGGUGGAAUGCGUAGAUAUAUGGAAGAACACCAGUGGCGAAGGCGGCUGUCUGGGCUGCAACUGACGCUGAGGCUCGAAAGCAUGGGUAGCGAACAGGAUUAGAUACCCUUGUAGUC